RNAcentral lists this ribosomal RNA (320 nucleotides) under uncultured eukaryote. RNAcentral describes it as "partial 18S ribosomal RNA". It matches the Rfam family "Eukaryotic small subunit ribosomal RNA", at positions 1470 to 1796 of the family's 1831-position model. The record is from RNAcentral.
CCCCUAGAUGUUCUGGGCCGCACGCGCGCUACACUGAACAGUUCAACAAGUCUUAACCUUGGCCGAUUGGUCUGGGUAAUCUUUGAACGCUGUUCGUGAUUGGGAUAGACCUUUGCAAUUAUGGGUCUUCAACGAGGAAUUCCUAGUAAACGCAAGUCAUCAGCUUGCACUGAUUACGUCCCUGCCCUUUGUACACACCGCCCGUCGCACCUACCGAUUGAAUGGUCCGGUGAAAUCUCGGGACGGCGGCUUGGUCGCUUGCGUCCGACUGCUGAAACUUGAUUAAACCAUAUCAUUUAGAGGAAGAUGAAGUCGUAACA